This 279-nucleotide unclassified non-coding RNA is filed under the name plant metagenome. Its description in RNAcentral is "partial contains small subunit ribosomal RNA, internal transcribed spacer 1, and 5.8S ribosomal RNA". The record is from RNAcentral.
UUUCCGUAGGUGAACCUGCGGAAGGAUCAUUAACGUAUUUCUGAAGGCGAGGGUGCGUCCCGCUCCGGACGGAAAGGCUGUGCUGUGGGCGAGUCCGUGCCGCUCAACCUUUGCAAACACCACUGUGCUCUCUUGUCGGCAAAGGGCCCUCAGGGCCCCGAGACGGACCCCAAAUACUCCUUUACAGUACGAACUGUGGACGCUGAGCCGAUUAAACUUUAAAAAUUUUCAACAAUGGAUCUAUUGGCUAUCGCACCGAUGAAGACAGCAGCCGAUCGG